Molecule: ribosomal RNA, 468 nt
Filed under: uncultured bacterium
Lineage: Bacteria
Description: partial 16S ribosomal RNA
Rfam family: Bacterial small subunit ribosomal RNA
Source: RNAcentral
GACGAACGCUGGCGGCGUGCUUAACACAUGCAAGUCGAACGGAAAGGCCCUGCUUUUGUGGGGUGCUCGAGUGGCGAACGGGUGAGUAACACGUGAGUAACCUGCCCUUGACUUUGGGAUAACUUCAGGAAACUGGGGCUAAUACCGGAUAGGAGCUCCUGCUGCAUGGUGGGGGUUGGAAAGUUUCGGCGGCUGGGGAUGGACUCGCGGCUUAUCAGCUUGUUGGUGGGGUAGUGGCUUACCAAGGCUUUGACGGGUAGCCGGCCUGAGAGGGUGACCGGCCACAAUGGGACUGAGGUACGGCCCAGACUCCUACGGGAGGCAGCGGUGGGGAAUAUUGCACAGUGGGCGCACGCCUGAUGAAGCAGCCCCGCGGGCGGGAUGACGGCCUUCGAGUUAUGAACCGCUUUCGCCUGUGACGAAGCGUGAGCGACGGUAAUGGGUAAAGAAGCACCGGCUAACUACGUG